CUACGGGGCGCACCAGUGAGGAAUAUUGCACAAUGGGGGGAACCCUGAUGCAGCAACGCCGCGUGGAGGAUGACGCAUUUCGGUGUGUAAACUCCUUUUAUAUGUCAAGAAAAUGACGGUAGCAUAUGAAUAAGCACCGGCUAACUCCGUGCCAGCAGCCGCGGUAAUACGGAGGGUGCAAGCGUUACUCGGAAUCACUGGGCGUAAAGGACGCGUAGGCGGGUUGGAAAGUCAGGUGUGAAAUCCUACAGCUUAACUGUAGAACUGCACCUGAAACUUCUAAUCUAGAGUAUGGGAGGGGUAGAUGGAAUUAGUGGUGUAGGGGUAAAAUCCGUAGAUAUCACUAGGAAUACCUAAAGCGAAGGCGAUCUCCUGGAACAUUACUGACGCUAAGGCGUGAAAGCGUGGGGAGCAAACAGGAUUAGAUACCCGCGUAGUC
This 439-nucleotide ribosomal RNA is filed under the name uncultured bacterium. RNAcentral's name for it is "partial 16S ribosomal RNA". It matches the Rfam family "Bacterial small subunit ribosomal RNA", at positions 339 to 795 of the family's 1533-position model. The record is from RNAcentral.